GGCCGGAUGGUGUAGUUGGUUAUCACGUCUGCUUAACAUGUCAAUAUGUCGCAGAAGGUCGAGAGAUCGAGCCUCUCUCUGGUCA
RNAcentral lists this transfer RNA (85 nucleotides) under Calycina marina. RNAcentral's name for it is "tRNA-Val". Lineage: Eukaryota; Fungi; Ascomycota; Leotiomycetes; Helotiales; Pezizellaceae. The record is from RNAcentral.